CUUCAGGGAUCCCAGCCACAGCGGUUCCGCGCGGUCCUGGCCGUACGUCGCCAGCAGCGCCUGCGCCUC
Molecule: antisense RNA, 69 nt
Filed under: Streptomyces cyaneogriseus subsp. noncyanogenus
Lineage: Bacteria; Bacillati; Actinomycetota; Actinomycetes; Kitasatosporales; Streptomycetaceae
Description: ASpks TB sRNA
Rfam family: ASpks TB sRNA
Source: Rfam by way of RNAcentral